CUGAUUAAUUACCCACAUUUUAUUUUUGUACGGAAGUUAAAAACGAACAAGGAAAUUUUUUCUAGAUAAAGUCUCAGUUGUAGGAAGUCAUUGACGGCCAACCAUCUUAUAAGAAACUGACAUUUUUAAGAUGAAGGUGACAAUUGUUGCAAUCCUAGCGUCUUGCAUCGUUUGUUUUGCUCAGACUAACUCUACGACAAAGUCAACAACAAUGCACACCACCACCACCACUAAGACAACGUCAUCUAGUACCGGGAUGUCGAUUACCACAAUACAUCCCAAUACUACAGCGGGAAGUUGGACGAUGGCGCCAUCUGUUUGGAUGAUUACCAUAUUGUCGUCUGCAGUCACCCAGUUCUGUCUAUCUAAGUGAAGAAGAUAUACCAUGUAUUUGACAUUUUCCCCUAUUUUACAAUAUAUUGUAAUUAUUUUCAUUGAUAUUAACACGCAUAACAGUUUCUAAUACAUGAAAGUGUAACAUCUGAAAUACAUUUCAAAUAAUGAAACCAAAUCGUAUUUCUUGAGAGGGUCUGUUGUUGAAGAUAAGGGCGGAUGAUUAUUAUCACGAGUAAUCAAUGAAGCCUUUAUUGCACCAAUACCAUUUCCCUUAUUGUACCCAAUGUCAUUUCCCUUAUUGUACCCAAUGUCAUUUCCCUUAUUGUACCCAAUAUUAUUUCCCUUAUUGUACCCAAUGUCAUUUCCCUUAUUGUACCCAAUAUUAUUUCCCUUAUUGUAUCCAAUGUCAUUUCCCUUAUUGUACCCAAUAUUAUUUCCCUUAUUGUACCCAAUGUCAUUUCCCUUAUUGUACCCAAUAUCAUUUCCCUUAUUGUACCCAAUGUCAUUUCCCUUAUUGUACCCAAUAUUAUUUCCCUUAUUGUACCCAAUGUCAUUUCCCUUAUUGUACCCAAUAUUAUUUCCCUUAUUGUAUCCAAUGUCAUUUCCCUUAUUGUACCCAAUAUUAUUUCCCUUAUUGUACCCAAUAUGUCAUUUCCCUUAUUGUACCCAAUAUUAUUUCCCUUAUUGUAUCCAAUGUCUUUUUUCUGUAUAUGUCAUUUCUGUCUUUAAAAUUAAUUAAAUACAUUACAAGAAAUUACAAAUAAAUGAAGUUGUUAUGGUAUUGUUAAUUAUACACGCAUUUACAAACAAUACGUAUGACUAGAAAAUAGAUAAAGUAACGCUAUAUUUGUUAAUUAAAUAAUAAAAGAUACAUGCAUAAUAUGAUAUAAUGCUGAUGUGACUUAAAACAUUUUAGUUUUUUUUUCGACUAAAUAAAGCGAUCACUGGUUUGUGAAGUUGAUACAUGUUUGUAAGUUGUUAAAAUUAAGCUGACGGUCAAUAAAAUUGAAUAAGGA
Molecule: long non-coding RNA, 1352 nt
Organism: Ruditapes philippinarum (Manila clam)
Lineage: Eukaryota; Metazoa; Mollusca; Bivalvia; Venerida; Veneridae
Exons: 4
Source: RefSeq, a predicted model, not a curated record